GUUAUAUGGUCAAGUGAAGAAGCGCAUACGGUGGAUGCCUUGGCAGUCAGAGGCGAUGAAAGACGUGGUAGCCUGCGAUAAGCUUCGGGGAGUCGGCAAACAGACUUUGAUCCGGAGAUCUCUGAAUGGGGGAACCCAGCCAUCAUAAGAUGGUUAUCUUGUACUGAAUACAUAGGUGCAAGAGGCGAACCAGGGGAACUGAAACAUCUAAGUACCCUGAGGAAAAGAAAUCAACCGAGAUUCCCUUAGUAGUGGCGAGCGAACGGGGACUAGCCCUUAAGUGGCUUUGAGAUUAGCGGAACGCUCUGGAAAGUGCGGCCAUAGUGGGUGAUAGCCCUGUACGCGAAAAUCUCUUAGUCAUGAAAUCGAGUAGGACGGGGCACGAGAAACCUUGUCUGAAUAUGGGGGGACCAUCCUCCAAGGCUAAAUACUACUGACUGACCGAUAGUGAACUAGUACCGUGAGGGAAAGGCGAAAAGAACCCCGGAGAGGGGAGUGAAAUAGAUCCUGAAACCGUAUGCGUACAAGCAGUGGGAGCAGACUUUGUUCUGUGACUGCGUACCUUUUGUAUAAUGGGUCAGCGACUUAUUUUCAGUGGCGAGCUUAACCGAAUAGGGGAGGCGUAGCGAAAGCGAGUCUUAAUAGGGCGUCUAGUCGCUGGGAAUAGACCCGAAACCGGGCGAUCUAUCCAUGGGCAGGUUGAAGGUUAGGUAACACUGACUGGAGGACCGAACCGACUACCGUUGAAAAGUUAGCGGAUGACCUGUGGAUCGGAGUGAAAGGCUAAUCAAGCUCGGAGAUAGCUGGUUCUCCUCGAAAGCUAUUUAGGUAGCGCCUCAUGUAUCACUGUAGGGGGUAGAGCACUGUUUCGGCUAGGGGGUCAUCCCGACUUACCAAACCGAUGCAAACUCCGAAUACCUACAAGUGCCGAGCAUGGGAGACACACGGCGGGUGCUAACGUCCGUCGUGAAAAGGGAAACAACCCAGACCGUCAGCUAAGGUCCCAAAGUUAUGGUUAAGUGGGAAACGAUGUGGGAAGGCUUAGACAGCUAGGAGGUUGGCUUAGAAGCAGCCACCCUUUAAAGAAAGCGUAAUAGCUCACUAGUCGAGUCGGCCUGCGCGGAAGAUGUAACGGGGCUCAAACCAUACACCGAAGCUACGGGUAUCACGUAAGUGAUGCGGUAGAGGAGCGUUCUGUAAGCCUGUGAAGGUGAGUUGAGAAGCUUGCUGGAGGUAUCAGAAGUGCGAAUGCUGACAUGAGUAACGACAAUGGGUGUGAAAAACACCCACGCCGAAAGACCAAGGUUUCCUGCGCAACGUUAAUCGACGCAGGGUUAGUCGGUCCCUAAGGCGAGGCUGAAAAGCGUAGUCGAUGGAAAACAGGUUAAUAUUCCUGUACUUCUAGUUAUUGCGAUGGAGGGACGGAGAAGGCUAGGCCAGCUUGGCGUUGGUUGUCCAAGUUUAAGGUGGUAGGCUGGAAUCUUAGGUAAAUCCGGGGUUCUAAGGCCGAGAGCUGAUGACGAGUUACCUUUUAGGUGACGAAGUGGUUGAUGCCAUGCUUCCAAGAAAAGCUUCUAAGCUUCAGAUAACUAGGAACCGUACCCCAAACCGACACAGGUGGUUGGGUAGAGAAUACCAAGGCGCUUGAGAGAACUCGGGUGAAGGAACUAGGCAAAAUGGCACCGUAACUUCGGGAGAAGGUGCGCCGGUGAGGGUGAAGGACUUGCUCCGUAAGCUCAUGCCGGUCGAAGAUACCAGGCCGCUGCGACUGUUUAUUAAAAACACAGCACUCUGCAAACACGAAAGUGGACGUAUAGGGUGUGACGCCUGCCCGGUGCCGGAAGGUUAAUUGAUGGGGUUAGC
RNAcentral lists this ribosomal RNA (1863 nucleotides) under Salmonella enterica subsp. enterica serovar Paratyphi B var. L(+) tartrate +. Its description in RNAcentral is "partial 23S ribosomal RNA". It matches the Rfam family "Bacterial large subunit ribosomal RNA", at positions 1 to 1894 of the family's 2925-position model. The record is from RNAcentral. Lineage: Bacteria; Pseudomonadati; Pseudomonadota; Gammaproteobacteria; Enterobacterales; Enterobacteriaceae.